GAUGAACGCUGGCGGCGUGCCUAAUACAUGCAAGUCGAGCGAACAGACGAUGAGCUUGCGCCGCGCACGUGAGCGGCGGACGUGAGAGUAACACGUGUAUAACCCACCUAUAAUACGGGUAUAACCUCGGGAAACCGGAUCAAAUACCGGAGAAGAUCCUGAAGCGCAGUGUGCAAUAGAGAGAUACGGCUGUGCGGGCUCUUAUAGCUGGAUCUCCGCCGCAUUGGAUGGUUGGUACGUUAACAGCUUACCAAGGCAACGAUGCGUAGCCGAGCGGAGGGAGUGAUAGGCCACACUGGAACUGAGACAGCGUCCAGAGUCCUACGGGACGCAGCAGUCGGGAAUCUUACGCAAUAGUCGAAAGCCUGACGGAGCAACGCCGCGUGAGUGAUGACGGUCUUCCGAUCGUAAAGCUCUGUUAUUAGGGAAGAACCACUGUGUACGUAACUAUGCCCGUCUUGACGGUACCUAAUCAGAAAGCCACGGCUAACUACGUG
RNAcentral lists this ribosomal RNA (497 nucleotides) under uncultured bacterium. RNAcentral's name for it is "partial 16S ribosomal RNA". It matches the Rfam family "Bacterial small subunit ribosomal RNA", at positions 28 to 507 of the family's 1533-position model. The record is from RNAcentral.